Mirounga angustirostris (Northern elephant seal) is the source of this 651-nucleotide long non-coding RNA. RefSeq lists it as uncharacterized. Lineage: Eukaryota; Metazoa; Chordata; Mammalia; Carnivora; Phocidae. The record is from RefSeq and is a predicted model, not a curated record. The transcript is spliced from 2 exons.
GGUGGCUUUCCUGCCAGCCAACAUUUGCCAAGUAUCUGUGUGUGCCAGGCCAUGCUGGGUGCCCAGAACUUGGCAGCAGCUCUGACACUGUUUCUGUCCUCAGGGAGCUCGGGGGCUGGUGGGAGUUUCAGGCAGGUGAGUCACCAGUCUUGACAAGUGGUUUAUUUGUUUGAAUAGGUGGUGCAGGCGUGUGGUUAAAAACCACAAACUGCAUGGAAGGAUACGUGCAGGAUACCCCUGUCUCUCGGUCACCUUCUCCUCACUGGAGGCAGCCACUAUUGUUAGUCCUGGCCGUGUCCUCCCGCAGAUGGUCCAUGCAUUCAAAAGCAGAUCUCCUCAAGAAACAAAGCAAGCCAGAACCCAAUCCACAUACCGCACGACUGGCGCCUCCAACAGAAUCUUCUGUCUGCAUUUUGCACUGACCAGCAUUUCUGGGAGAUAAUUACAUAUCACUUGGAGAUGGGCACCCCGUUAAUUUCGCUCCACAGGCGAGGAGGCCAGGGGAAUGCCCCAUUGUGUGAUGAGGCCUCAUGGACUUCCACGGCCACUCCUGAUGGACAUGUGGGAUGUUUCUGGGCGGUGAGCACUCUUGUACUUUUAUCUCUGGGCACUUGUAUCUCAGAGGAUAAAUGCAUGGAAGCGAAUGGCUGG